RNAcentral lists this ribosomal RNA (541 nucleotides) under Alternaria sp. CX7. RNAcentral describes it as "eukaryotic LSU rRNA". The stretch from base 208 to 361 matches the Rfam family "5.8S ribosomal RNA". Lineage: Eukaryota; Fungi; Ascomycota; Dothideomycetes; Pleosporales; Pleosporaceae. The record is from RNAcentral.
GGGAACAAGGUCUCCGUAGGUGAACCUGCGGAGGGAUCAUUACACAAAUAUGAAGGCGGGCUGGAACCUCUCGGGGUUACAGCCUUGCUGAAUUAUUCACCCUUGUCUUUUGCGUACUUCUUGUUUCCUUGGUGGGUUCGCCCACCACUAGGACAAACAUAAACCUUUUGUAAUUGCAAUCAGCGUCAGUAACAAAUUAAUAAUUACAACUUUCAACAACGGAUCUCUUGGUUCUGGCAUCGAUGAAGAACGCAGCGAAAUGCGAUAAGUAGUGUGAAUUGCAGAAUUCAGUGAAUCAUCGAAUCUUUGAACGCACAUUGCGCCCUUUGGUAUUCCAAAGGGCAUGCCUGUUCGAGCGUCAUUUGUACCCUCAAGCUUUGCUUGGUGUUGGGCGUCUUGUCUCUAGCUUUGCUGGAGACUCGCCUUAAAGUAAUUGGCAGCCGGCCUACUGGUUUCGGAGCGCAGCACAAGUCGCACUCUCUAUCAGCAAAGGUCUAGCAUCCAUUAAGCCUUUUUUCAACUUUGACCUCGAUCAGUAGAU